UACGUAGGGUGCGAGCGUUAAUCGGAAUUACUGGGCGUAAAGGGUGCGCAGGCGGCCUUGUAAGUCAGAUGUGAAAGCCCCGGGCUUAACCUGGGAAUUGCGUUUGAAACUACAAAGCUAGAGUGCAACAGAGGGGAGUGGAAUUCCAUGUGUAGCAGUGAAAUGCGUAGAGAUGUGGAAGAACACCGAUGGCGAAGGCAGCUCCCUGGGUUGACACUGACGCUCAUGCACGAAAGCGUGGGGAGCAAACAGGAUUAGAUACCCUGGUAGUCCACGCCCUAAACUAUGUCAACUAGUUGUCGGAUCUAAUUAAGGAUUUGGUAACGUAGCUAACGCGUGAAGUUGACCGCCUGGGGAGUACGAUCGCAAGAUUAAA
Molecule: ribosomal RNA, 376 nt
Filed under: uncultured bacterium
Lineage: Bacteria
Description: bacterial SSU rRNA
Rfam family: Bacterial small subunit ribosomal RNA
Source: RNAcentral